ACGUAGGGUGCAAGCGUUGUCCGGAUUUAUUGGGCGUAAAGAGCUCGUAGGCGGUUCAACACGUCGGAUGUGAAGACACGGUGCUUAACACCGUGCCUGCAUUCGAUACGGUCGAACUAGAGGAUGGCAGGGGAAACUGGAAUUCCUGGUGUAGCGGUGGAAUGCGCAGAUAUCAGGAGGAACACCGGUGGCGAAGGCGGGUUUCUGGGCCAUUACUGACGCUGAGGAGCGAAAGCGUGGGGAGCAAACAGGAUUAGAUACCCUGGUAGUCCACGCCGUAAACGGUGGGCGCUAGGUGUGGGGCACAUUCCACGUGCUCUGUGCCGCAGCUAACGCAUUAAGCGCCCCGCCUGGGGAGUACGGCCGCAAGGCUA
Molecule: ribosomal RNA, 374 nt
Filed under: uncultured bacterium
Lineage: Bacteria
Description: bacterial SSU rRNA
Rfam family: Bacterial small subunit ribosomal RNA
Source: RNAcentral